Molecule: long non-coding RNA, 498 nt
Filed under: Mustela putorius furo (domestic ferret)
Lineage: Eukaryota; Metazoa; Chordata; Mammalia; Carnivora; Mustelidae
Description: lncRNA (ENSMPUG00000029035.1)
Source: RNAcentral
GUGAGAGAUGUUAUUGGUUCAUUGAAGAAGAGAGAAUUAGAAUUUAUGAAGUCAAAAGAAAGACAGAAAUGCUUAUUUCUUUGUUUUCUCCUGUUGUGGCCUCAGAGCUGUUGGUUUCCUUCUGCCUCCUCCGUUUCUCCAGCCUGAAGUACAUCAAGGGUUGAUUUCCCCUGCAAAGCCAGAAAAGAGGCAAUAAUAGAUUUAAAGGGAUAUAGAGUGGUGAUACAGAUAUUUGAGUCUAGAAGCAGCAGAACUGUGGGGACUGGAUUCAUGACCAGUGUUCCAGAAUUCAUUGUUUAUGCACCAGAGAAAUUCUAUUGUUGUACCAUGAUGGCAUCCUCAACAUUUGGAACCGCUAUUGGUAUCACUGGAAGGCUGGAAUAGAAUCUUUAGAGGUAGAUGGGAUCGUGACUGAAAACUUGGCGACUUUCCCAUGACCCCCAUGCUGGAAACCCCAUGUGUUACUCCCUUCUGCUUGGUUGUGCCGCAGUAAUAAAU